RNAcentral lists this ribosomal RNA (253 nucleotides) under uncultured bacterium. RNAcentral describes it as "partial 16S ribosomal RNA". It matches the Rfam family "Bacterial small subunit ribosomal RNA", at positions 524 to 776 of the family's 1533-position model. The record is from RNAcentral.
UACGUAGGCAGCAAGCGUUGUUUGGAGUUACUGGGCGUAAAGGGUGUGUAGGCGGUUGUUUAAGUUUGGUGUGAAAUCUCCCGGCUCAACCGGGAGGGUGCGCCGAAUACUGAAUGACUAGAGUGCGGGAGAGGAAAGUGGAAUUCCUGGUGUAGCGGUGAAAUGCGUAGAUAUCAGGAGGAACACCGGUGGUGUAGACGGCUUUCUGGACCGUAACUGACGCUGAGACACGAAGGCUAGGGGAGCGAACGGG